This 427-nucleotide ribosomal RNA is filed under the name uncultured bacterium. Its description in RNAcentral is "partial 16S ribosomal RNA". It matches the Rfam family "Bacterial small subunit ribosomal RNA", at positions 355 to 774 of the family's 1533-position model. The record is from RNAcentral.
UGGGGAAUAUUGCACAAUGGGCGCAAGCCUGAUGCAGCCAUGCCGCGUGUAUGAAGAAGGCCUUCGGGUUGUAAAGUACUUUCAGCGGGGAGGAAGGCGAUAAGGUUAAUAACCUUGUCGAUUGACGUUACCCGCAGAAGAAGCACCGGCUAACUCCGUGACAGCAGCCGCGGUAAUACGGAGGGUGCAAGCGUUAAUCGGAAUUACUGGGCGUAAAGCGCACGCAGGCGGUCUGUCAAGUCGGAUGUGAAAUCCCCGGGCUCAACCUGGGAACUGCAUUCGAAACUGGCAGGCUAGAGUCUUGUAGAGGGGGGUAGAAUUCCAGGUGUAGCGGUGAAAUGCGUAGAGAUCUGGAGGAAUACCGGUGGCGAAGGCGGCCCCCUGGACAAAGACUGACGCUCAGGUGCGAAAGCGUGGGGAGCAAACA